Molecule: long non-coding RNA, 162 nt
Organism: Nicotiana attenuata
Lineage: Eukaryota; Viridiplantae; Streptophyta; Magnoliopsida; Solanales; Solanaceae
Exons: 3
Source: RefSeq, a predicted model, not a curated record
UCAUUUAAGGACAAAAAAAUUAAUUUAUUGGUUUGUCUCUUCCCAAGGUGCUCAAGAGAAAUGCGACUUUGAGAAAUUUCAAUCUCUUCUAAUGCCAAAUUUAUAAUGAUUACGGAAAGUGCUUCAUAUAUUCUUGGAGGCAUGAAGAUCAAGGAUGCAAUG